GACGAACGCUGGCGGCGUGCCUAAUACAUGCAAGUCGAACGAACCGCGACUAGGUGCUUGCACUUGGUCAAGGUGAGUGGCGAACGGGUGAGUAACACGUGGGUAACCUACCUCAUAGUGGGGGAUAACAGUCGGAAACGACUGCUAAUACCGCAUAGGACAUAGGAUCACAUGAUCCAGUGAGGAAAGGUGGCGCAAGCUAUCGCUAAGAGAUGGACCCGCGGUGCAUUAGCUAGUUGGUAGGGUAAAGGCCUACCAAGGCAAUGAUGCAUAGCCGACCUGAGAGGGUGAUCGGCCACAUUGGGACUGAGACACGGCCCAAACUCCUACGGGAGGCAGCAGUAGGGAAUCUUCCGCAAUGGACGCAAGUCUGACGGAGCAACGCCGCGUGAGUGAAGAAGGUCUUCGGAUCGUAAAGCUCUGUUGUUAGAGAAGAACAGCGCAUAGAGUAACUGUUAUGCGUGUGACGGUAUCUAACCAGAAAGCCACGGCUAACUACGUG
RNAcentral lists this ribosomal RNA (502 nucleotides) under uncultured bacterium. Its description in RNAcentral is "partial 16S ribosomal RNA". It matches the Rfam family "Bacterial small subunit ribosomal RNA", at positions 28 to 507 of the family's 1533-position model. The record is from RNAcentral.